Molecule: ribosomal RNA, 253 nt
Filed under: uncultured bacterium
Lineage: Bacteria
Description: partial 16S ribosomal RNA
Rfam family: Bacterial small subunit ribosomal RNA
Source: RNAcentral
GACAGAGGGUGCAAACGUUGCUCGGAAUCACUGGGCGUAAAGGGCGUGUAGGCGGGAAGGAAAGUCAGAUGUGAAAUCCCCAGGCUCAACCUGGGAACUGCAUUUGAAACUCCCUUUCUUGAGUACCGGAGAGGAAAGCGGAAUUCCUGGUGUAGAGGUGAAAUUCGUAGAUAUCAGGAGGAACACCAGCGGCGAAGGCGGCUUUCUGGACGGUAACUGACGCUGAUGCGCGAAAGCCAGGGGAGCAAACGGG